GACAGAGGGGGCAAGCGUUGCUCGGAAUCACUGGGCGUAAAGGGCGCGUAGGCGGGAUGGCAAGUCAGUCGUGAAAUCUCUCGGCUCAACCGAGAAACGUCGGCUGAUACUGCCGUUCUUGAGGGAUGCAGAGGAGACUGGAAUUCCCGGUGUAGCGGUGAAAUGUGUAGAGAUCUGGAGGAACACCGAUGGUGAAGGCAGCCUUCUGGGCCAACACUGACGCUCAUGCACGAAAGCGUGGGGAGCAAACAGG
Molecule: ribosomal RNA, 253 nt
Filed under: uncultured bacterium
Lineage: Bacteria
Description: partial 16S ribosomal RNA
Rfam family: Bacterial small subunit ribosomal RNA
Source: RNAcentral